UACGAGGGGAGCAAGCGUUGUUCGGAUUUACUGGGCGUAAAGGGCGCGUAGGCGGCCACGACAAGUCACUUGUGAAAUCUCCGGGCUUAACUCGGAACGGUCAAGUGAUACUGUCGGGCUAGAGUACGGAAGGGGCAACUGGAAUUCUCGGUGUAGCGGUGAAAUGCGUAGAUAUCGAGAGGAACACCUGCGGCGAAGGCGGGUUGCUGGGCUGAUACUGACGCUGAUGCGCGAAAGCCAGGGGAGCGAACGGG
RNAcentral lists this ribosomal RNA (254 nucleotides) under uncultured bacterium. RNAcentral describes it as "partial 16S ribosomal RNA". It matches the Rfam family "Bacterial small subunit ribosomal RNA", at positions 524 to 776 of the family's 1533-position model. The record is from RNAcentral.